GCCACAUUGGGACUGAGACACGGCCCAAACUCCUACGGGAGGCAGCAGUGGGGAAUCUUGCACAAUGGAGGAAACUCUGAUGCAGCGAUGCCGCGUGAGUGAAGAAGGCCUUUGGGUUGUAAAGCUCUUUCGUCGGGGAAGAAAAUGACUGUACCCGAAUAAGAAGGUCCGGCUAACUUCGUGCCAGCAGCCGCGGUAAUACGAAGGGACCUAGCGUAGUUCGGAAUUACUGGGCUUAAAGAGUUCGUAGGUGGUUGAAAAAGUUGGUGGUGAAAUCCCAGAGCUUAACUCUGGAACUGCCAUCAAAACUUUUCAGCUAGAGUAUGAUAGAGGAAAGCAGAAUUUCUAGUGUAGAGGUGAAAUUCGUAGAUAUUAGAAAGAAUACCAAUUGCGAAGGCAGCUUUCUGGAUCAUUACUGACACUGAGGAACGAAAGCAUGGGUAGCGAAGAGGAUUAGAUACCCUCGUAGUCCAUGCCGUAAACGAUGUGUGUUAGACGUUGGAAAUUUAUUUUCAGUGUCGCAGCGAAAGCGAUAAACACACCGCCUGGGGAGUACGACCGCAAGGUUAAAACUCAAAUGAAUUGACGGGGACCCGCACAAGUAGUGGAGCAUGUGGUUUAAUUCGAAGAUACGCGCAGAACCUUACCAACACUUGACAUGUUCGUCGCGACUUUAAGAGAUUAAAGUUUUCGGUUCGGCCGGACGAAACACAGGUGCUGCAUGGCUGUCGUCAGCUCGUGUCGUGAGAUGUUGGGUUAAGUCCCGCAACGAGCGCAACCCUCACUUUUAGUUGCCAUCAUUAAGUUGGGCACUCUGAAAGAACUGCCAGUGAUAAGCUGGAGGAAGGUGGGGGAUGACGUCAAGUCCUCAUGGCCCUUACGUGUUGGGCUACACACG
RNAcentral lists this ribosomal RNA (898 nucleotides) under marine metagenome. Its description in RNAcentral is "bacterial SSU rRNA". It matches the Rfam family "Bacterial small subunit ribosomal RNA", at positions 307 to 1222 of the family's 1533-position model. The record is from RNAcentral.